RNAcentral lists this ribosomal RNA (484 nucleotides) under uncultured bacterium. RNAcentral's name for it is "partial 16S ribosomal RNA". It matches the Rfam family "Bacterial small subunit ribosomal RNA", at positions 30 to 507 of the family's 1533-position model. The record is from RNAcentral.
AUUGAACGCUGGCGGCAGGCCUAACACAUGCAAGUCGAGCGGAUGAAGGGAGCUUGCUCCUGGAUUCAGCGGCGGACGGGUGAGUAAUGCCUAGGAAUCUGCCUGGUAGUGGGGGAUAACGUCCGGAAACGGGCGCUAAUACCGCAUACGUCCUGAGGGAGAAAGUGGGGGAUCUUCGGACCUCACGCUAUCAGAUGAGCCUAGGUCGGAUUAGCUAGUUGGUGGGGUAAAGGCCUACCAAGGCGACGAUCCGUAACUGGUCUGAGAGGAUGAUCAGUCACACUGGAACUGAGACACGGUCCAGACUCCUACGGGAGGCAGCAGUGGGGAAUAUUGGACAAUGGGCGAAAGCCUGAUCCAGCCAUGCCGCGUGUGUGAAGAAGGUCUUCGGAUUGUAAAGCGCUUUAAGUUGGGAGGAAGGGCAGUAAGUUAAUCCCUUGCUGUUUUGACGUUACCAACAGAAUAAGCACCGGCUAACUUCGUG